This 1592-nucleotide ribosomal RNA is filed under the name Lestrigonus schizogeneios. RNAcentral's name for it is "bacterial SSU rRNA". It matches the Rfam family "Eukaryotic small subunit ribosomal RNA", at positions 607 to 1780 of the family's 1831-position model. The record is from RNAcentral. Lineage: Eukaryota; Metazoa; Arthropoda; Malacostraca; Amphipoda; Lestrigonidae.
AUGUUGCUGCGGUUGAAGGCUCGCAGUUUGACUUUACGGUAAUUCCAACUUGGCGGGAGAGAGGAAGUGCUCUGAGACGUUGGUCAUGCGCUUCACUGUGUGUGGGCCGUCUCUUUACAAGGGGCACAUGACUCUCUCCCUCAAACCCUAUCGAUCAUAUUGACUGGUAUUCCAACACUACUUUAUGUUGUGUUGUGUGGUAUCGGUUGAGACACCUUGAGUAAAUCAGAGUGCUUAAAGCAGUCGUUGUUAACGCUUCGACUCUUCGGAGAUCUUGGUGAUGUGAGGUGUGAUGGUUGAGUAUCUUCAGCUGUCACACUCUAAGACAUUGUCUUUGCUUUGCAUGGUACGUCGAAACAUGCCAUAUGAGUUGGUCGUGCUUACGUGUCCAAAUGGCAACAUUACAGAUGCGCGUGCACCAACGAGUAUGGAAUGAGCUGAGAGGGAUGGAUCAAUGUCAUUGGUAUUGCUGGGCGAGAGGUGAAAUUCUAUGACCCUAGCAAGACUACCUGAAGCGAAAGCGUCUGGCAAGGACGUCUUCAUUAAUCAUGAACGAAAGUUGAAGGAUCGAAGGCGAUCAGAUACCGCCCUAGUUGCAACCGUAAACAAUACCAACCAUCAAUCCGCCUCAGUGUUCCCUCUUGUCGGUCGGUUUGGCUGUUGUUAACCCUUCAGUUGGCUGUAUCGCGAGUGUAAGCACGGGGCGGGCGGCUCUUUUCGGAACGGGAAACCAGAGUGUUUGGGUUCCGGGGGGAGUCUGGUUGCAAAGCUGAAACUUAAAGGAAUUGACGGAAAGGCACCACCAGGCGUGGAGCUUGCGGCUCAAUUUGACUCAACACGGGAAAUCUCACCAGACCCGAACAUCUUUGGUGAUUGACAGACUGAGAGCUCUUUCUUGAUGAAGUGGAUGGUGGUGCAUGGCCGUUCUUAGUUGGUGGAGUGAUCUGUCUGGUUAAUUCCGAUAACGAACGAGACUCUCUCCUGCUAAUGAACACGUUCUGGCGGUUUUCUUAGACGCUGUGAUUCGAUUCAACAUAGACACUCAGCAAUGAGACUAUGGGACGAUGUCCAGUGCCUUAUCCUUGGUGCUUGCUGGGCGCGGCAUCUCAUGUAUGCUUAGCUCUCUUGUGCCUCGGAGUGCGGUUUAUCUUCUUAGAGGGAUUGACGACUCUUACCAAGUCGUAAGAAACAGGGAGCAAUAACAGGUCUGUGAUGCCCUUAGAUGUUCUGGGCUGCACGCGUGUUACAAUGCCGGUGUCAACGGGUUUCAACCACUAGACUAACUAGUGGUGCCUUCUCCGAAAGGAGCGGGUAAACCUUUCAAACACCUUAGAGUGUAGGCUGUCUUUUCAGUUUCACACUCAGCUCAGGCAUACUUGGGACUGGGGAUUGCAAUUAUUCCCCACGAACUAGGAAUGCCUUGUAGUGGCGGGUCACAUAGCCCGCUGCGAAUCUGUCCCUGCCCUUUGUACACACCGCCCGUCGCUACUACCGAUUGAGUGUACCAGUGAGAGUUUUGGACUGGCGAACCAUACACCCUCACGGGUGUGUGGCGAACGACAUGAAGAGAUACGAACUGGUGCACUAGAGAA